CCUACGGGAGGCAGCAGUGGGGAAUAUUGGGCAAUGGGCGCAAGCCUGACCCAGCAACGCCGCGUGAGGGAUGAAGGCCUUCGGGUUGUAAACCUCUUUUGUCAGGGACGAAGAACGUGACGGUACCUGCCGAAUAAGCCUCGGCUAACUACGUGCCAGCAGCCGCGGUACUACGUAGGGGGCAAGCGUUAUCCGGAUUUACUGGGUGUAAAGGGGGCGUAGGCGGGUUUGCAAGUCAGUAGUGUAAUCCAGGGGCUCAACCUGGGGCCUGCAUUUGAAACUGGAGGGCUUGAGUGCAGGAGAGGCAGACGGAAUUCCUAGUGUAGCGGUGAAAUGCGUAGAUAUUAGGAGGAACACCAGUGGCGAAGGCGGUUUGCUGGACUGCAACUGACACUGAGGCACGAAAGCGUGGGGAGCAAACAGGAUUAGAUACCCGUGUAGUC
RNAcentral lists this ribosomal RNA (443 nucleotides) under uncultured bacterium. RNAcentral's name for it is "partial 16S ribosomal RNA". It matches the Rfam family "Bacterial small subunit ribosomal RNA", at positions 338 to 795 of the family's 1533-position model. The record is from RNAcentral.